AUGAAAGAUCGUUAGAGGUUAAUGAUGUUCCUUGGUAGUAAUAGUAGUGCAGUAUGUCUAUCUAUGUUGUAGCGUAGUCUUAAAUUUGGAUAUUAACAGUUAUUUUAGUAAAUGUUACUAACAUUUAAAGGAGCCAUGUCACUACAUGAGUAUGUAGUGAAGAAAUGUGUAUUUCUUAUAUAGUUUGAAGAGUCUUAUUAUGAGACUACCAGUGUCUUAAUAUGCCUACCAGCAUAUCUUGGGGGCUAUUGUUUACUUUAAGAUUAUACUACUAGUCACAGAGACAGGAAGUUCUUUGUUCUUCUCCACCUAUGUUCUGGGAGAAGCAAAGCCCAGUCAUUCUGAAUGUCGAAGUGAUGCAGUAAGGUCUGAGUUACAUAACAUUGCAGCAGAAAGUUUUUAGUUAUUUUGUGGAACAAACUACAGGCCCAAUUCGAUUGUUAUCUGAAGGUUUACCGGAGAUAGUAAUUAACCUGAAGGUUUUACCGAAGAUAUGAAAGUGAAGUUACGAGUUGCUGAAUAAAACAGAAGUUGGUUGGACUUUA
Long non-coding RNA from Strongylocentrotus purpuratus (purple sea urchin), 545 nucleotides. RefSeq lists it as uncharacterized. The transcript has 2 exons. NCBI's taxonomy places the organism in Eukaryota, Metazoa, Echinodermata, Echinoidea, Camarodonta, Strongylocentrotidae. The record is from RefSeq and is a predicted model, not a curated record.